Molecule: ribosomal RNA, 253 nt
Filed under: uncultured bacterium
Lineage: Bacteria
Description: partial 16S ribosomal RNA
Rfam family: Bacterial small subunit ribosomal RNA
Source: RNAcentral
UACGGAGGUUGCAACCGUUGCUCGGAAUCAUUGGGCGUAAAGCGCCCGUAGGCGGCCUGUUAAGUUGGGUGUGAAAGCCCUCGGCUCAACCGAGGAAGUGCACUCAAAACUGGCAAGCUUGAGUAUGGAAGAGGGUCGCGGAAUUCCCGGUGUAGAGGUGAAAUUCGUAGAUAUCGGGAGGAACACCAGUGGCGAAGGCGGCGACCUGGGCCAAUACUGACGCUGAGGUGCGAAAGCGUGGGGAGCAAACAGG